AUACGGAGGGGGCUAGCGUUGUUCGGAAUUACUGGGCGUAAAGCGCACGUAGGCGGAUUAAAAAGUUAGAGGUGAAAUCCCGGGGCUUAACCCUGGAACUGCCUUUAAAACUAGUAGUCUAGAGUUCGAGAGAGGUGAGUGGAAUUCCAAGUGUAGAGGUGAAAUUCGUAGAUAUUUGGAGGAACACCAGUGGCGAAGGCGGCUCACUGGCUCGAUACUGACGCUGAGGUGCGAAAGCGUGGGGAGCAAACAGGAUUAGAAACCCUAGUAGUCC
This 274-nucleotide ribosomal RNA is filed under the name uncultured bacterium. RNAcentral describes it as "partial 16S ribosomal RNA". It matches the Rfam family "Bacterial small subunit ribosomal RNA", at positions 523 to 796 of the family's 1533-position model. The record is from RNAcentral.